This 402-nucleotide ribosomal RNA is filed under the name uncultured bacterium. RNAcentral describes it as "bacterial SSU rRNA". It matches the Rfam family "Bacterial small subunit ribosomal RNA", at positions 355 to 774 of the family's 1533-position model. The record is from RNAcentral.
UCGGGAAUUUUGGGCAGUGGGCGAAAGCCUGACCCAGCAACGCCGCGUGAGGGAUGAAGUAUUUCGGUAUGUAAACCUCGAAAGAAUGGGAAGAAUAAAUGACGGUACCAUUUAUAAGCUCCGGCUAACUACGUGCCAGCAGCCGCGGUAAUACGUAGGGAGCAAGCGUUGUUCGGAUUUACUGGGCGUAAAGGGCGCGUAGGCGGCGCGGUAAGUCACUUGUGAAAUCUCUGAGCUUAACUCAGAACGGCCAAGUGAUACUGCUGAGCUAGAGUGCGGAAGAGGCAACCGGAAUUCUUGGUGUAGCGGUGAAAUGCGUAGAUAUCAAGAGGAACACCUGAGGCGAAGGCGGGUUGCUGGGCCGACACUGACGCUGAUGCGCGAAAGCCAGGGGAGCAAACG